AAAUUAAUUAAUUAACUUUACUUACAAAUCCACCUUCAAUUUCAAUAUAAAUUGAAAAAUCCGUAUAAAUAAUAUUAUUGUAACCCAUUAGUACUUAUACAUAAGCUUCACCUUGACCUGACAUAUAUGUAUUUAACAAUCAAGAAAAUUAAUUCUAAAAAAACAUUCUUAUGACGGAGGUAUAAAAACUGAAUACAAAUAUAAGUGAAUAAAAUCGUGGAUUAUCGAUUACACAACAGGUUCCUCUGAAAAGACUAAAAUACCGCCAAAUUCUUUGGGUUUCAAGAACUUAACUAUUAAUACCCAGGGUGUAUAUUAACGUUUAGU
Molecule: ribosomal RNA, 327 nt
Filed under: Ischnura denticollis
Lineage: Eukaryota; Metazoa; Arthropoda; Insecta; Odonata; Coenagrionidae
Description: partial 12S ribosomal RNA
Source: RNAcentral